Molecule: non-coding RNA, 113 nt
Organism: Podospora appendiculata
Lineage: Eukaryota; Fungi; Ascomycota; Sordariomycetes; Sordariales; Podosporaceae
Source: the annotation of a GenBank genome assembly
GCCCGCAUAGCUCAGUGGUAGAGCGCGUCACUAGUAUCUGUAUCCAUCUCCCGAUCCAGGGAGAUGCGAUCCGUAUCAUGACGAGGUCUUCAGUUCAACUCUGGAUGUGGGCA